UGGGGAAUAUUGGACAAUGGAGGAAACUCUGAUCCAGCAAUUCUGUGUGUGUGAAGAAGGUUUUAGGACUGUAAAACACUUUUAGUAGGGAAGAAAAAAAUGACGGUACCUACAGAAGAAGCAACGGCUAAAUACGUGCCAGCAGCCGCGGUAAUACGUAUGUUGCGAGCGUUAUCCGGAAUUAUUGGGCGUAAAGCGCGCGCAGGUGGUUUAGAAAGUCUGAUGUGAAAGCCCACGGCUCAACCGUGGAGGGUCAUUGGAAACUAAUAAACUUGAGUGCAGGAGAGAAAAGUGGAAUUCCUAGUGUAGCGGUGAAAUGCGUAGAGAUUAGGAGGAACACCGGUGGCGAAAGCGGCUUUUUGGCCUGCAACUGACACUGAGGCGCGAAAGCGUGGGGAGUAAACAGG
Molecule: ribosomal RNA, 407 nt
Filed under: Verrucomicrobiota bacterium
Lineage: Bacteria; Pseudomonadati; Verrucomicrobiota
Description: Verrucomicrobia bacterium partial 16S ribosomal RNA
Rfam family: Bacterial small subunit ribosomal RNA
Source: RNAcentral